CAGCUUUUAUUUCUUCCAUCACAUUCCCAGUGGGACAAAAGUUUACAUACGCUCAAUUAGUAUUUGGUAGCAUUGCCUUUAAAUUGUUUAACUUGGGUCAAACGUUUCAGGUAGCCUUCCACAAUAAGUUAGGUGAAUUUUGUCCCAUUCCUCCUGACAGAGCUGGUGUAACUGAGUCAGGUUUGUAGGGCUCCUUGCUCGCACACGCUUUUUCAGUUCUGCCCACAAAUUUUCUCUAGGAUUGACGUCAGGGCUUUGUGAUGGCCACUCCAAUACCUUGACUUUGUUGUCCUUAAGCCAUUUUGCCACAACUUUGGAAGUACUGUAUGCUUGGGGUCAUUGUCCAUUUGGAAGACCCAUUUGCGACCAAGCUUUAACUUCCUGACUGAUGUCUUGAGAUGUUGCUUCAAUAUAUCCACAUAAUUUUCCUGCCUCAUGAUGCCAUCUAUUUUGUGAAGUGCACCAGUCCCUCCUGCAGCAAAGCACCCCCACAACAUGAUGCUGCCACCCCCAUGCUUCACGGUUGGGAUGGUGUUCUUCGGCUUGCAAGCCUCCCCCUUUUUCCUCCAAACAUAACGAUGGUCAAUUAUGGCCAAACAGUUCUAUUCUUGUUUCAUCAGACCAGAGGACAUUUAUCCAAAAAGUACGAUCUUUGUCCCCAUGUGCAGUUGCAAACCGUAGUCUGGCUUUUUUAUGGCGGUUUUGAAGCAGUGGCUUCUUCCUUGCUGAGCGGCCUUUCAGGUUAUAUUGAUAUAGGACUUGUUUUACUGUGGAUAUAGAUACUUUUGAACCUGUUUCCUACAGCAUCUUCAAAGUCCUUUGCUGUUGUUCUGGGAUUGAUUUGCACUUUUCGCACCAAAGUACGCACCAAAAUAGCAUAACCUGACUUGGCCCAGCCUCAUUUACACCAUCAUCCAUGAUAUGACUAGACCCAGCCUCAUCUACACCACCAUCUAUAGCCUGACUAGUCCCAGCCUCAUCUACACCACCAUCUAUAGCCUGACUAGUCCCAGCCUCAUCUACACCACCAUCUAUAGCCUGACUAGUCCCAGCCUCAUUUACACCACAAUUUGUAGCAUGACGGGGCCCAGCCUCUGCUGCCUGCGUCUCAUGACCCCCUGCACGUUGACCUCUUUCCCCCACUGGUGCUGGUACCCUUACCUUGUCUACGGCCUUUAUGUGGGCACGCAAAGCUCUUAUGCCCCAAAUUACUGUGGAUAUAGAUACUUUUGUACCCGUUUCCUCCAGCAUCUUCACAAGGUCCUUUGCUGUUGUUCUGGGAUUGAUUUGCACUUUUCACACCAAAGUACGUUAAUCUCUCGGAGACAGAACGCGUCUCCUUCCUGAGCGGUAUGACGGCUGCGUGGUCCCAUGGUGUUUAUACUUGCGUAGUAUUGUUUGUACAGAUGAACGUGGUACCUUCAGGGCAUUUGGAAAUUGCUCCCAAGGAUGAACCAGACUUGUGGAGGUAUACAAUUUUAUUUCUGAGGUCUGGGCUGAUUUAUUUAGAUUUUCCCAUGAUGUCAAGCAAAGAGGCACUGAGUUUGAAGGUAGGCCUUGAAAUACAUCCACAGGUACACCUCCAAUUGACUCAAAUGAUGUCAAUUAACCUAUCAGAAGCUUCUAAAGCCAUGACAUCAUUUUCUGGAAUUUUCCAACCUGUUUAACGGUACAGUCAACUUUGUCUAUGUAAACUUCUGACCCACUGGAAUUGGGAUACAGUGAAUUAUACAUUUAAUAAUCUGUCUGUAAACAAUUGUUGGAAAAAUGCACUUGUGGCAUGCACAAAGUAGAUGUCCAAACUGACUUGCCAAAACUAUAGUUUGUUAACAAGAAAUUUGUGGAGUGGUUGAAAAACAAGUUUUAAUGACUCCAACCUAAGUGUAUGUAAACUUCUGACUUCAACUGUAUAUACUCUUAUUGAGUGGCAGGCAGCCACAUGAUUCGCUGCUCGAAGGAGCAGUGUAUUUGCAUUAGCACGCAGGUGUACCUAAUGAAGUGGGUGUACAGUAUUGUCAAAUCUGAAAACACGGUCUGGAAAAGUGUUAUGUGGGACCAUAGAAACAGUGUCUGAUAAAGAAUGAUGAUGAAGUAUUACAUCCAUAGAUAAUGUAGUCCAACUGGUUCAUGUUCCACGGUAACUGGUGUCAAUGGAUCUCGUUAUCCUGAAACUUUCAUGAUCUAAACAUGGAAUAUUGUUAGUCAGUUUCCAUAAAACUAUGCAUUAAGAGUAAUGCAAUAGUUACUUAUCAUUUUGAG
This 2259-nucleotide long non-coding RNA is filed under the name Salmo salar (Atlantic salmon). RNAcentral's name for it is "lncRNA (ENSSSAG00000098591.1)". Lineage: Eukaryota; Metazoa; Chordata; Actinopteri; Salmoniformes; Salmonidae. The record is from RNAcentral.